UGGGGAAUUUUGGACAAUGGGGGAAACCCUGAUCCAGCCAUCCCGCGUGUGCGAUGAAGGCCUUCGGGUUGUAAAGCACUUUUGGCAGGAAAGAAACGUCAUGGGUUAAUACCCCGUGAAACUGACGGUACCUGCAGAAUAAGCACCGGCUAACUACGUGCCAGCAGCCGCGGUAAUACGUAGGGUGCAAGCGUUAAUCGGAAUUACUGGGCGUAAAGCGUGCGCAGGCGGUUCGGAAAGAAAGAUGUGAAAUCCCAGAGCUCAACUUUGGAACUGCAUUUUUAACUACCGGGCUAGAGUGUGUCAGAGGGAGGUGGAAUUCCGCGUGUAGCAGUGAAAUGCGUAGAUAUGCGGAGGAACACCGAUGGCGAAGGCAGCCGCCUGGGAUAACACUGACGCUCAUGCAGGAAAGCGUGGGGAGCAAACAGG
Molecule: ribosomal RNA, 429 nt
Filed under: Acidobacteriota bacterium
Lineage: Bacteria; Pseudomonadati; Acidobacteriota
Description: Acidobacteria bacterium partial 16S ribosomal RNA
Rfam family: Bacterial small subunit ribosomal RNA
Source: RNAcentral